This 1372-nucleotide ribosomal RNA is filed under the name uncultured bacterium. Its description in RNAcentral is "bacterial SSU rRNA". It matches the Rfam family "Bacterial small subunit ribosomal RNA", at positions 28 to 1381 of the family's 1533-position model. The record is from RNAcentral.
GAUGAACGCUGGCGGCGUGCCUAAUACAUGCAAGUCGAGCGAACGGACGAGAAGCUUGCUUCUCUGAUGUUAGCGGCGGACGGGUGAGUAACACGUGGAUAACCUACCUAUAAGACUGGGAUAACUUCGGGAAACCGGAGCUAAUACCGGAUAAUAUUUUGAACCGCAUGGUUCAAAAGUGAAAGACGGUCUUGCUGUCACUUAUAGAUGGAUCCGCGCUGCAUUAGCUAGUUGGUAAGGUAACGGCUUACCAAGGCAACGAUGCAUAGCCGACCUGAGAGGAUGAUCGGCCACACUGGAACUGAGACACGGUCCAGACUCCUACGGGAGGCAGCAGUAGGGAAUCUUCCGCAAUGGGCGAAAGCCUGACGGAGCAACGCCGCGUGAGUGAUGAAGGUCUUCGGAUCGUAAAACUCUGUUAUUAGGGAAGAACAUAUGUGUAAGUAACUGUGCACACCUUGACGGUACCUAAUCAGAAAGCCACGGCUAACUACGUGCCAGCAGCCGCGGUAAUACGUAGGUGGCAAGCGUUAUCCGGAAUUAUUGGGCGUAAAGCGCGCGUAGGCGGUUUUUUAAGUCUGAUGUGAAAGCCCGCGGCUCAACCGUGGAGGGUCAUUGGAAACUGGAAAACUUGAGUGCAGAAGAGGAAAGUGGAAUUCCAUGUGUAGCGGUGAAAUGCGCAGAGAUAUGGAGGAACACCAGUGGCGAAGGCGACUUUCUGGUCUGUAACUGACGCUGAUGUGCGAAAGCGUGGGGAUCAAACAGGAUUAGAUACCCUGGUAGUCCACGCCGUAAACGAUGAGUGCUAAGUGUUAGGGGGUUUCCGCCCCUUAGUGCUGCAGCUAACGCAUUAAGCACUCCGCCUGGGGAGUACGACCGCAAGGUUGAAACUCAAAGGAAUUGACGGGGGCCCGCACAAGCGGUGGAGCAUGUGGUUUAAUUCGAAGCAACGCGAAGAACCUUACCAAAUCUUGACAUCCUUUGACAACUCUAGAGAUAGAGCCUUCCCCUUCGGGGGACAAAGUGACAGGUGGUGCAUGGUUGUCGUCAGCUCGUGUCGUGAGAUGUUGGGUUAAGUCCCGCAACGAGCGCAACCCUUAAGCUUAGUUGCCAUCAUUAAGUUGGGCACUCUAAGUUGACUGCCGGUGACAAACCGGAGGAAGGUGGGGAUGACGUCAAAUCAUCAUGCCCCUUAUGAUUUGGGCUACACACGUGCUACAAUGGACAAUACAAAGGGCAGCGAAACCGCGAGGUCAAGCAAAUCCCAUAAAGUUGUUCUCAGUUCGGAUUGUAGUCUGCAACUCGACUACAUGAAGCUGGAAUCGCUAGUAAUCGUAGAUCAGCAUGCUACGGUGAAUACGUUCCCGGGUCU